UGAUUUUUAAAAGAUGGCUUCGGCUAUCACUUCUGGAUGGACCCGCGGCGUAUUAGCUAGUUGGUGAGAUAAAGGCUCACCAAGGCAGUGAUACGUAGCCGACCUGAGAGGGUAAUCGGCCACAUUGGGACUGAGACACGGCCCAGACUCCUACGGGAGGCAGCAGUAGGGAAUCUUCCACAAUGGACGCAAGUCUGAUGGAGCAACGCCGCGUGAGUGAUGAAGGCUUUCGGGUCGUAAAACUCUGUUGUUGGAGAAGAACGUGUGUGAGAGUAACUGCUCAUGCAGUGACGGUAUCCAACCAGAAAGCCACGGCUAACUACGUGCCAGCAGCCGCGGUAAUACGUAGGUGGCAAGCGUUAUCCGGAUUUAUUGGGCGUAAAGCGAGCGCAGGCGGUCUUUUAAGUCUAAUGUGAAAGCCUUCGGCUUAACCGAAGAAGUGCAUUGGAAACUGGGAGACUUGAGUGCAGAAGAGGAGAGUGGAACUCCAUGUGUAGCGGUGAAAUGCGUAGAUAUAUGGAAGAACACCAGUGGCGAAGGCGGCUCUCUGGUCUGCAACUGACGCUGAGGCUCGAAAGCAUGGGUAGCGAACAGGAUUAG
This 600-nucleotide ribosomal RNA is filed under the name Pediococcus ethanolidurans. RNAcentral describes it as "bacterial SSU rRNA". It matches the Rfam family "Bacterial small subunit ribosomal RNA", at positions 194 to 781 of the family's 1533-position model. The record is from RNAcentral. Lineage: Bacteria; Bacillati; Bacillota; Bacilli; Lactobacillales; Lactobacillaceae.